This 948-nucleotide ribosomal RNA is filed under the name uncultured fungus. Its description in RNAcentral is "eukaryotic LSU rRNA". The stretch from base 609 to 948 matches the Rfam family "Eukaryotic large subunit ribosomal RNA", at positions 1 to 335 of the family's 3401-position model. Lineage: Eukaryota; Fungi. The record is from RNAcentral.
GGAAGGAUCAUUAACGAGUUUUGAAGUGGGUUUGAUGCUGGCCUCGUAAUACAGGCAUGUGCUCGCCCCGCUCAUCCACUCUACACCUGUGCACCUUUGAGGCAUUGCCCUCCAAUUAACUUUGGAGCCGUUCCCCACAGCGAUUCACUUUGCAGUGGGUAGAGCCGGGGCUUUGCCCUCUACCUUUUACACACCCCAUUACAAAGUUUUGUAGAAUGUUACCGCCGCAAGGCAAUAAAUUAAUACAACUUUCAACAACGGAUCUCUUGGCUCUCGCAUCGAUGAAGAACGCAGCGAAAUGCGAUAAGUAAUGUGAAUUGCAGAAUUCAGUGAAUCAUCGAAUCUUUGAACGCACCUUGCGCUCCUUGGUAUUCCGAGGAGCAUGCCUGUUUGAGUGUCAUGAAAUUAUCAACUCCCCACUAGCUUUGCGGCUUGAGGGGGGCUUGGAUUUGGGAGCUUGCUGGCCUAGCGGUCGGCUCUCCUUGAAUGCAUUAGCUGGACUUUCCGACUAGGAAGCGGUUCACGGUGUGAUAAUUAUCUACGCCUGAUAAAUCCGUCUUGUGGUCUGGUCGAGCUUAUAAUCGUCCUCGGACAAUUACUUUAAGAUCUGACCUCAAAUCAGGUAGGACUACCCGCUGAACUUAAGCAUAUCAAUAAGCGGAGGAAAAGAAACUAACAAGGAUUCCCCUAGUAACUGCGAGUGAAGCGGGAAAAGCUCAAAUUUAAAAUCUGGCGGUUCUGCCGUCCGAGUUGUAAUCUGGAGAAGUGUUUUCCGCGCUGGACCGUGUACAAGUCUCUUGGAACAGAGCGUCAUAGAGGGUGAGAAUCCCGUCUUUGACACGGACUACCAGUGCUUUUGUGAUACACUCUCAAAGAGUCGAGUUGUUUGGGAAUGCAGCUCAAAAUGGGUGGUAAAUGCCAUCUAAAGCUAAAUAUUGGCGAGAGACC